Molecule: long non-coding RNA, 624 nt
Organism: Oncorhynchus tshawytscha (Chinook salmon)
Lineage: Eukaryota; Metazoa; Chordata; Actinopteri; Salmoniformes; Salmonidae
Exons: 3
Source: RefSeq, a predicted model, not a curated record
GAUUAGGAAGAGUAUCAUUGGUAAUAUCAUUGGUAAUUUGGAAAUAAAUACAUCAAGCACAGGCUGUAAACAGGACAAAAUUACAAAAUGUUUUGUAUUCAAUACACAAAUUGCUAAUUAAAUUAAUCAAAGCCAGUCAAAAACAACACCAGAAAUCUGUCAAUGCUACAAAAGGCCAUGUAUGGUGGUGUAGUGCUGCUUUAGCAGAUACAUAGUUACGCCGGUUAUUAAUAUACAAAUCCCCCUAGCAACUGACUCAGGGUCAGUAUCCAACUCUUUCACAUAAUGACACCUUAGUGUAUGCUGUAUCCCACCCAGGAUUGCCCUAGGUCAGAUACAUCAGCCCCUAGGUGGGAUACAUCAGCCCCUAGGUGGGAUACAUCAGCCCCUAGGUGGGGUACAUCAGCCAGCCCCUAGGUGGGGUACAUCAGCCAGCGCCUAGGUGGGAUACAUCAGCCCCUAGGUGGGAUACAUCAGCCCCUAGGUGGGAUACAUCAGCCCCUAGGUGGGAUACAUCAGCCCCUAGGUGGGGUACAUCAGCCCCUAGGUGGGGUACAUCAGCCCCUAGGUGGGGUACAUCAGCCCCUAGGUGGGAUACAUCAGCCCCUAGGUGGGAUACAUCAG